GUGCAGCAGUCGAGAAUUUUUCACAAUGGGGGAAACCCUGAUGGAGCGACGCCGCGUGGAGGAUGAAGGCGUUUUCGUCGUAAACUCCUGUCAUGCGAGAACAAGAAAGUGAUAGUAUCGCAAGAGGAAGAGGCGGCUAACUCUGUGCCAGCAGCCGCGGUAAUACAGAGGCCUCAAGCGUUGUUCGGAUUCAUUGGGCGUAAAGGGUGCGUAGGUGGCAUGGUAAGUUGAAGGUGAAAUCUCGGAGCUCAACUCCGAAACUGCCUUCAAUACUGCUGUGCUCGAGGACUGUAGAGGAGAAUGGAAUUCACGGUGUAGCAGUGAAAUGCGUAGAUAUCGUGAGGAAGACCAGUGGCGAAGGCGAUUCUCUGGGCAGUUCCUGACACUGAGGCACGAAGGCUAGGGGAGCAAACGGGAUUAGAUACCCCGGUAGU
This 434-nucleotide ribosomal RNA is filed under the name uncultured organism. RNAcentral describes it as "bacterial SSU rRNA". It matches the Rfam family "Bacterial small subunit ribosomal RNA", at positions 346 to 794 of the family's 1533-position model. The record is from RNAcentral.